RNAcentral lists this ribosomal RNA (484 nucleotides) under uncultured bacterium. RNAcentral's name for it is "partial 16S ribosomal RNA". It matches the Rfam family "Bacterial small subunit ribosomal RNA", at positions 30 to 507 of the family's 1533-position model. The record is from RNAcentral.
AUUGAACGCUGGCGGCAGGCCUAACACAUGCAAGUCGAGCGGAUGAAGGGAGCUUGCUCCUGGAUUCAGCGGCGGACGGGUGAGUAAUGCCUAGGAAUCUGCCUGGUAGUGGGGGAUAACGUCCGGAAACGGGCGCUAAUACCGCAUACGUCCUGAGGGAGAAAGUGGGGGAUCUUCGGACCUCACGCUAUCAGAUGAGCCUAGGUCGGAUUAGCUAGUUGGUGGGGUAAAGGCCUACCAAGGCGACGAUCCGUAACUGGUCUGAGAGGAUGAUCAGUCACACUGGAACUGAGACACGGUCCAGACUCCUACGGGAGGCAGCAGUGGGGAAUAUUCGACAAUGGGCGAAAGCCUGAUCCAGCCAAGCCGCGUGUGUGAAGAAGGUCUUCGGAUUGUAAAGCACUUUAAGUUGGGAGGAAGGGCAGUAGGUUAAUACCUUGCUGUUUUGACGUUACCAACAGAAUAAGCACCGGCUAACUUCGUG